RNAcentral lists this transfer RNA (74 nucleotides) under Candidatus Delongbacteria bacterium. Its description in RNAcentral is "tRNA-Met". It matches the Rfam family "tRNA". Rfam says of the family: Transfer RNA (tRNA) molecules are approximately 80 nucleotides in length. The record is from RNAcentral. Lineage: Bacteria; Candidatus Delongiibacteriota.
UGCGGGGUGGAGCAGUCUGGUAGCUCGUUGGGCUCAUAACCCAAAGGCCGCAGGUUCGAAUCCUGCCCCCGCUA